CCUACGGGAGGCAGCAGUGAGGAAUAUUGGUCAAUGGCCGGAAGGCUGAACCAGCCAUGCCGCGUGAAGGUCAGUGCCCUAUGGGCGUUAAACUUCUUUUGUGCGGGAGCAAUAAUGGUCACGUGUGGCCAGACGAGAGUACCGUACGAAUAAGCAUCGGCUAACUCCGUGCCCGCGGCCGCGGUAAUACGGGGGAUGCAAGCGUUUUCCGGAUUUAUUGGGUUUAAAGGGGGCGUAGGCUGUGAGGUAAGUCAGCGGUGAAAUGCCCCCGCGCAACGGGGUGACGUGCCAUUGAUACUGGCUGGCUGGAAUGCGGAUGCCGUGGGAGGAAUGUGUGGUGUAGCGGUGAAAUGCAUAGAUAUCACACAGAACACCGAUUGCGAAGGCAGCUCACGAAUCCGCGAUUGACGCUGAGGCACGAAAGCGUGGGUAUCAAACAGGAUUAGAUACCCUAGUAGUC
RNAcentral lists this ribosomal RNA (460 nucleotides) under uncultured bacterium. RNAcentral describes it as "partial 16S ribosomal RNA". It matches the Rfam family "Bacterial small subunit ribosomal RNA", at positions 338 to 795 of the family's 1533-position model. The record is from RNAcentral.